GAGCGGUAACAGGCGUAGCAAUACGUGCUGACGAGCGGCGAACGGGUGAGUAACGCUUCGGAAUCUGCCCAAUGGUGGGGAAUAACCAGCCGAAAGGUUGGCUAAUACCGCAUGAGCCCUACGGGGGAAAGCGGGGGAUCGUAAGACCUCGCGCCGAUGGAUGAGCCGAAGCCGGAUUAGCUAGUUGGUAGGGUAACGGCCUACCAAGGCGACGAUCCGUAGCUGGUCUGAGAGGACGACCAGCCACACUGGGACUGAGACACGGGCCCGACUCCUACGGGAGGCAGCAGUGAGGAAUAUUGGUCAAUGGACGGAAGUCUGAACCAGCCAUGCCGCGUGAAGGAUGAAGGCCUUCUGGGUUGUAAACUUCUUUUAUGAGGGAAGAA
RNAcentral lists this ribosomal RNA (386 nucleotides) under uncultured bacterium. RNAcentral describes it as "bacterial SSU rRNA". It matches the Rfam family "Bacterial small subunit ribosomal RNA", at positions 64 to 449 of the family's 1533-position model. The record is from RNAcentral.